RNAcentral lists this long non-coding RNA (1429 nucleotides) under Lupinus angustifolius (narrow-leaved blue lupine). RNAcentral's name for it is "long non-coding RNA (LANG_LNC002826)". The record is from RNAcentral. Lineage: Eukaryota; Viridiplantae; Streptophyta; Magnoliopsida; Fabales; Fabaceae.
UUAAAAGGGGUAACAUACACUAUCAUCCCCAAUCCCCAACAAAAAUGCCCAAAAGGGAUUCAAAUCCCUAAAUCUAGCUCUCUUCUUCACCUUCAUCAAUGGUGGUGGCGAUUUCAUGCCAGCAAGAGACAGCCAACUCCAAGCAUGCGGCCAUGAAGUUGACUACCUCAUAUUCUUCUCCGCUACAGCGGCAAUGGCGACCAUAACGGCAGCGAGAGGUGGCGAUGGCGAGUUCUUCUUCUCCACCGGCAGUGAUGGUGAAUUCUUCUUCUCCACCCCGGUUACGGUAAGUUCUUGAAGACAAAAGCCAAGCCGGCCAAGAGGUCUUAGUGACGGUGCGAAUUUGGGACUAUCGUCUCGUUUGCGUCAUAGAUGGUUUGUGAGCGACUCGAGCCUGAUUAGACUUUUGAGGCCGAUGAGUUGUUGGAGAUUGUUCUCCCUCUCGAUGGCGUCAUUGAGACCAUGGUUUCAUGCAUGUUCGAAAGAUGAAUAAUCGAAUAGGGUUUGGAGGUGAUUGGGGUUAUGGGGUAGGGCUGGGAAGGUGGUAUUGAUGGUGGUCACUGAAGUCGGGUUAGUGUUCAGCUACUCUUUUCCUUCGCCGGACUGAAUCGGUGGCCCUUUUUACCAUACUGUGCAAUGGGACACCCAUUGAUCCCUCUGACAAUGGUGAUAGUGUGAUAUCGGUAGUGACCUUGGCUCAUGAAUUAUGCCUUCAGACCAUCGCAGGGUUAGUGAAGGCUAAGCUCAAUAAGAAAUUCCCCCUUUUGGAUCUUUCAAUUAUUGUCAACGCUUAUCUCCGAUCACUAAGGUAUUGCUACUUCUCCUUUGAAAGCUUUCUUUUUGUAUAGUGUAUGGUGAUUGCUUACUUUUCUAUUUGCUUAUUUGAUACAUGUGCGUUACCUUACCGACUGAUGCCUCUGUUGGGUUUAUUCAAGUGUGAACUCCCACAUUAAAUAUGCGAGUAGGAGUGAAAGAGCUUAUAUCUAAGAAGGACCAUGGAACUAAUACCUUAAGGUUUUAGUUCAAGAGGUGGUGUCUUAGUUGUGGUUCCUCAUCUUCCCAUACCCCUAACAACGGAACUGCCCGGUGGUUGGAGGUUCCCCAAUUGCAGUCUGGUCCAACAAAUGGUAACAAAUGGUAUCAGAGUUGAUGGUUCGGCUUGGGCAUGUAAGAAAAUGAAAUUUAAUGAAUGAAGAAUUACUUCUUAUAUGGGGUUUAAAUCUGAUUAUGGAAACAAACAUGACUACACUACACGUAGAAGUGAUGAAAGAUAGAAAGUUUGAAACUUUCCACUUUCUUUAUGUUACUUGUCUAUUGUUUAUAAGUUUGUGACUGAAUAAUUAUAUUUUCCAUAAGAAUCUUAAAUCAUACAAGUGAAUGUGUUUUUAUUAAAACUACUAAUUGAAUUUGGAAUAGUUGGUAAUUAAAA